CUCUCUGGAGAUUGGAGAUAACAUGUCGGCCUUGGCCCCACAGGAGCUGGCCAUGUCCAAGGAUCCAGGAAUCAGUUAUUUUAUCUUCACGUCUGAUUCCUGAGGGACAAAUGCUGUCAGUCUCACUGUGGAUCGAAGCAGGGAAUAUGAUUUUAGUCAGAAAUUGCCUCCUGUCUGCUGCAAAUUGGACUGAGGAAGAGAGGAAGUUGAAUUUCCCAAAGCUGAGUCAAUUUUAGAUUUAAUCCUUGGAUUGGCUAAUUCAUUCAUUCCUUCACAUCCACGUAGUAGGCAUUUAUCGAGCAUUUAUUAGGUUAUUUAUUAGGCGUUGAGCAUAUAAAGCAAAAAGCAAUAAAAAAUUACCAAGAAUAAUCAAAGCAAUACUAACAGCUAAUAUUUCUCCAUGAAGCCCUUACUAAAGUCCAGGUGAGGGUUUAAGGGCUUUGCUUAAAUUAUUCUCACAACUCCAUGGGGUAGGUGCUAUUUCUGCACCAUUAUGUGCAUUAAGGAAACAGACUCAGAGAGGUUAAGAAACAUGUCCCUGUCAUGGAGCUAGUAGUUCCAGAGUAGAAUUGAAAACCAGGCCAUUUGGCUCCGGUCUCUCCCUCUACUCAAACUCCAGAUCUCAAAGAGCUUGCGCUUUCAUGAGGAAGAAAACCAAUAAAAAAAGAGAGAAAAGUUUAAUAAAGUGGAUAAUAUAUUGAGUGCUUGCUACAUGUAUGACUUCGUUCAAUCCUCACAAUCACUCUCUGAAGAGGACACUGUUAUCAUUUCUCUCCAUUUACAGAUGGGGAAACUGAGGCACCAAGCAGUUAUAGAACUUGCUUGAGUUCGCAUAGUGGGUGAAGGGUGGAGCCAAUGCUUGGAGGCAGGCGGUCUGGCCCCAUAGCCUAUGCUUUUGACCUUUUCUCUCUGUCUCCUGAUGUUGGGUAAAGUGAGCAUGCAGGGCUGUGAUCAGAAAGAAAAUGUAUCAAAAAUAGGUUGGAUGAGGUAGAGGAGGGGUCUUAUAAGAGGGGAGCUUGAGCUGAAUUCUGAAGGGCAUGCAGUAUUGGGCCAGGCGAAGAUUGGGAGGAGAGGAUGCCAGCCAUGGGAGCAGCCUAGGAGGGACGCGGAGGGAAGAGGGAGCCGUGUUUGUUCCAUCAAACUGCAAGUGAUUCUGUUUUGUUCUAAUACAAGGCAGGAUGGGGGAGUAAAAAAAACAUGAGGGGGAACGUUAGGUCCAAGCCAGGGUAUGAAAUGUCCUUGUAUGCCACGUGAAGGAGUCUGGGUCUUGUUCAGGUAACGAGGAGCCAUAGAUGGGGCUCUAGCAGAGCAGUAGCAGUGUCAGAUCCAUGCUUGAGAAUGAUCAUGCCAGCUUAUGGGCCAUCCAAAAGCUGGCACACCCGAGGAGCAGGCCAUCCCAGGCUCUCUUGCAAUGAGAAGACAGUAACUUGCAGGCUAGGAUGGUAGCAAGGAGGACAAAGACAAGUGGAGGGAUUCAAGCAAUUUUAGGAGGUAAACCAAAAGAAAAUACGAUUGGAUGCAUGUGGGGGGCGGAAGGAGAGGGGUGAAGGAUGACCUCAGGUUUUUGACUUGAGCAAGUGGGUAGAAGGUGGGCCGUUUCUUGAGGCAGGAGGCUGGAGCAGAUUUAGGCUUGACGAGGACAGGGUCCGAGGCAGAUGUGUGGAAUUUGAGGAGUUUGUGGGAAAACCUGAUGGAUGCCCAACAGGCAGUCUAAUGUACAAUCUGGAACCCAGGAGAGGGGAAAUCCAGACUGGUGUAAGAAUUGGGGGAGAGUGAGCUUAUUUAUAGGUGUUUUUUCAAACUUUGGAGUAGUUGAAGGUGUCAGUUCUAGGGUUAUGGGACCUCUUUACAGCUGGUAAACUCAUACCUGAAUCUCAGAAAUAAUCUCCUCAAAUAUAAUAGUUCAUUUUCUGUUGAAAAAUUCAAUAAUAUUCUGCAUCAGCCUAGCUCUUCGCAGUUUUCCCAGGGCUUUCAUAUACAUUAUUUCAUUAAAAUAAAGUCUGGUUGGCAACGCAGAGGAUGAGGGUUCAUCUCUAAAAAUAAGAAUGGCACUUUGAAGGUUUGUAUAACUUCCAGAUUGCUAGUUAGCCAGGGGCAGGGCUGGGAUGAGCACAGUGUUGCUCAGAUUUUGAUGUGCACUGGAAUUGCCUGGGGAUCUGGCAGAUUCUGAUUUAGGGUUGGUGAUGGUGUCAGUGGUGGUGGUAGUUGGUGACAUCAGUGGUGGGACUCUGUAUUCUAACAUACUCCCAGGUGAUGUCACUGCUUCUGCUCUGAGAUGCACUUUGAGUAUCAAAGGACUAGAGAACAGAUUUUCUCUCUCCUUGUUCAGCACCCUGUUCAUUAAGCCUUGUUGAGUCAAGAUCUAAAACUAAGAGUGGGCAACACAAGGUGAGCCAUUUACUGCUAGAAUUUCAAGGGAUGGAAUGUUUCUUAUCUUAGAAGUAAAACUUUGAGAACUUGCGAUUGACCUUACUCUUUUGCAGAUGAUAAAGCCAUGGUUUUUUGCAGAGAGGGAGCUGACACACCCAAAGAAACUGGCAUCUGGGUCAGAAUAAGAAAGGAUCCCUGGUUUCCUGGCUCAGAAUCCAGUGCUUGCCACACCUUGUUGUCCCCUUUGCAUAUUCCGAGGCAUAUGGAGUUCAACAGGAUCCAAGAGACUUGGGUAAAUGCCAAGUCAUGUGGGCUCCUUAAUCCUGAAGUUUGCCCUGCUGAGUCCAAUCUGGGAACAAUGUCCUGGCUUAGGGGUGAGGGGAGGGAAAGGUUUGUUUCAGGUAUAAUUAAUAAACAUACUCAAAUGCAAAAGGACAGAGAGGAGAGGUAUCACUUUUAAAAAAAAUAUUUUAUUGAGGCAACAUUGAUUUAAAAUUGUGUGAAUUUCAGGCAUAUAUUACUACAUUUCAGCUUCUGGAUAGACUGCAUCAUUUCACCACCAAUAGUCUAGUUUUUCUCCAUCACCAUAUAUAUGUGCCCCUUUACCUCUUUUGCCCUCCCACCACCCCCUUCCUCCCUGGUAAUCACCAAUCUGUUCUACUUAUCUAUUUAUUUGUUUAUCUUCCACAUAUGAGUGAAAUCAUACUGUAUUUGUCUUUCUCUGCCUGACUUAUUUUGCUUAGCAUAAUACCCUCAAGGUCCAUCCAUGUUGUUGCAAAUGGGACAAUUUUGUCUUUUUUAUGGCUGAGUAGUAUUCCAUUGUAUACAUAUACUGCAUCUUCUUUAUCCAUUCAUCUGUUGAUGGGCAUUUGGAUUGCUUCUAAGUCUUGGCUAUCGUGAAUAAUGCUGUGAUAAAUAUAGGAGCACGUAUAUCUUUUUGAAUUAGUGUUUUCAUGUUCUUUGGAUAAAUACCCAGAAGUGGAAGACCUGGAUGGUAUGGUAUUUCUAUUUUUAAUUUUUGAGGAAUCUCCAUACUGUUUUCCAUAUUGGCUGUACCAGUUUGCAUUUCCACCAGCAGUGUAUGAGGGUCCCUUUUCUCCACAUCCUCUCCAACACUUGUUAUGUCUUGUCUUGUUAAUAUUAGCCAUUCUGAAAGGUGUCCAUCACUUUGGGUGUUAAAACCAAAAGGUAUUAGGCCAAGUUCCAGUCCUGGGUUCUGACAGGGAAACUGGGUUGCCACUGGUCCCCGAUUUAGCUCUCCUCUGCCCCACUGCCUCGGAGUUACAGAGUUACACUUUUAAAGCCCGAUUAGUCCAGUUGCGAUGUGCCUUUUGUCACCAGCUACGGUAUCAUUUUUCAUGCACUCUUUAUGUUCAUAUUUAAGUCCAGUCAUCUUUAAUUUAAAUUUUGCUGAAAACAGCCAUAUUGCUGCAAGUGUAAAUGAAGGUAGAUGAACAUUAAUGGUGUCAGCUCACAGCUGUUCAUAAGUUAAAUAGUUAUUGCUCACCCCCCCCAGAUCUCUGUUUGAAAUGCCUAAAAUGUUCAAUUAGAAGCAUAAAGAGCUUUUCUUCAUCAUUGUUAUUAGGAUCAGGUUCAGGCUGAAGAACUUGCAUGUGCUAUGAGACACGGAAAUCAGACUGAAACUCCGUUAAUUAAACAGAACUAGUUUAUGUUUGAGAGGAGUCUGCAGAAGCUAUGUUGUUUUUGCAAAUUUAUUACAUUUUCUUCAAAGUGUCUAGAUUAAUGCUACAUUAAUUACUGGUGGGUAGGCACCCUGCAGCAUAUGUUGCUAUUAAUUGUAUCCAUUAUCACAAAAUAAACAUCUUUUUAUAAAAACAAAUGAUGCUUCAUUUUAAUAUGUGGCUUGAAACACCCUUCUCCACAGCCGUUGCUACUUCUGUUUGGGUGCUUUUGCUACAAAAGACCACCUGUUACAAUAGACAUUUCAUUUGUUUUUAUUUGAAAAAAAAAAAAAAAACCUCUUAGAAAACAAAACUCUGCCUCCUCAAAGUACAAUAAUCUUAAAAAAAAAAAAAAAAAAAAAAUGAAGACCCAGAGGAAAUUUGCAUUUUUCCCAUCAGAAUUUCUCAACACUAGGGUGGCCCAUACACCUUCAGUCUUUUAGCCCUGACCCCUUGGUCUGGAUCUGCUUGAUUUUUAGGUCUUGAAGGAUCUCAUUCUGCUGUAAACUUCUUUGUGUUGCAGAUGGAGAAACUGAGAGCAGUUGGUAUCGACUCAAGGCAGACCCAUUUUCCCCAACUCUGUAAUGGGUUCCUUUUGUUCUCCAGUAUUUAGCUUUUUGACUGCAUCAGCCUGUGGACUGCACUGACUGGCUGUGUGACCUUGGGAAAAUUUCCCAACCACUAUGAUCUUUGGUUUCCUUCACUCCAUAAAGGGAUGAAUAGCUAAUUCAUCAGAGUUGAUGUGAAGAUGAAAUGAAUUUAUGUAUUUCCUAGAAUAGUGCCUGGGAUGUGAUAGGUCCUCAAAAAUGGUGACUAUUGCAGUAAUAAUUGCUGUUGUUCUCAUUGCUGUUAGUUCAAGUAAUGCACAUUCCACAGUCCAUUCUUAAAGCAUUUGGUCUAAUGGUAAAUGACUUGUCACCACUAACGUGGAGCUCCUUCAGAGCCUUGAAGUGCUGCUUUUCUGUACUGUCCUUGCUCUAUGGUUGUUAUUCAGUGUUCAUGAACAAAAAAAUGUAACUAUAAAUUAAACUGAAGUUGAAUCGUAAAGGGACACGCUAUAUACAGUAGUAGUGACUAAAUCCAAAAAUUGAAAUUGCCAGCAAUUGUUGGGAAGACUUUCUUAUCAUUGGCCACUUUUCCACCCCUUUAAAUAAAAAGAAAAAUUAGCUUAGCAUUCUUAGACUGAUCACAAAUGAUCAAGGAUUUCAUUUUGCAUCUUAUGGAACCACAAUGCCAUUCGUUCAUUCAUUCAUUCAUUGACUUUGGAAUUCCUGUUUGUAGGGGAGGACUCUGCACAGAGGCACAGACGGUAGUAGUUGUACAAGAAAUGUGAAAUGCUUUCUUUCUUCAUGAACUGUAUGUGUGUGGAAUAAAAGUAGAUGGGACUACAGUCUCUCACCUUGGAAAAUUUGCAAUUUGGCUGAAAGGCAAAGGUGUGAUGCCUGACACAAGAAGGGAAGAAAUAUCACUUGGGAACUGGAAAUGUAACCUUCCUUUUAAAACUGGACAAAUUCAACCUGUUUUGCGCUUACAACAAAACUCUGGAGCCUUGGCUGGAGGAGGAAGGCUGGGGCAGUGGUAGUCAGAAGGUGCCAGGAAGGAUAAAGCAAAAAAGACUGGCAAAAUCACGUCAUUCUGGUUUCUCUCCUAAGUGCAAUAAUAUUGAUUGCCCUGAAGAUCCUUUGCAAGGUGACAGUAGAAUCGUGUCCUUCUGGAUCUAUUUUCCUUAAACGUCAGAGGAAGACAGCUGUUUCUGGCUCACUGGAAGCUAUUCUAAUUCCUUCAAGAUUUGGAAACUGCUUUCAUCAUUCACAUUAAUCAGAAAAGAGAUGACAUUAACUUUCCCAGGUUCAGAACUCUUGGUUUAAGGAAAGAAAGUGGUCUGAGCCUUGGUCAUCAUUGGCCACUCUUGACAACACCCAUUUGCUGUAAGACCACUGGCCAUCUGCUUGGGUCAAGAAUGCACAUCUAAACUCUAAAAGAGAUUCGGCUUUGGAAGGGAUCAAGAAUUUUGAUUAAGAAUUUAUAAUGACAUUCUCAGCACCGUGCCACCCAUAACUCACAGAGUUUAUAAUACGUGGAACUAGAACUAAUAGACAAAUGAAGUGAAUGAAAGAAAAUCUUUAUAGAAUAAUUUUAAAGGGUUUGGCGAGAUAGAUGACAACUUCCUUUGUCGUCGGUACACUAACCCCAGCAGAAACAGAGUGCUGGAGCAAGCCCAGAAAGAUAUAAAGAAAAACAUUUCAAACAUGAAUCUUCCUGAAAUUCACAUUUAGGCUGAAAUGGGAGAAGGAUAUGAUUGCUCCAUUUUUGCAGCUUCAAGCUAUCUCCGUUCUGCCUUGGAGGAAAAAUACGGACACCUAGUCUUGUCAGCCUACUUCAUCCUGUUACUUUAUUUUUCUAGAAAUGGCUACAAUGGCCAUGAGUUACGGGCAAGGAUCUUAAAUAGAGAAAGAAUAUGAACAUGGGUCCCAUUUCCUUCUUUGAUAUCUAUUCCUUAUAAGCCCGUAUUCAGUGAUAGAAUCAAUGACUGCAUAAAUGGAUAAAUGCCCCUUGGUUCAAUAAAUGAAUUAGAAUAUACCCAGCUGUUCAGCAGAUAUUUUUAACCAGAAUCUCAGGGGAAAUAUAAGCUGCUUAAAGACUCUUCUGUCCUCUGUGGCACCAUAAGCCUUGUGUGGUGAGAAUACCCAACACUUGAGGAGAACAUCAACAUAGAUUCACGUCCAGGGAUCCAGGCUCUCAUUUUUACAGGGAAGUUGAUGGAAGUCAUCACCAAAGCCUAGGAGAAUUAGAGAAUGACUAAUGGGAGAGCUCCAGAUUAUCUCUGGACUAUAAGGAAACCUAGUGCAGAAAGCUGUGCAAAAAUGUGAAACAUAUACCACAUUACAAUAGAUAAAUUUCAGGUUUAAGUGCUCUGAAUUGGACUACUUCAUUUGAAAAUUAGUACCAGACACUUGCCCAAAUGGUGAAGCAUUAGAAAAGUGUUCCUGCCUAUUGUGUAGAGUUUAAAUCAUUUCAGAAAGAAUAACAAUUUUAGGGGUUUAACUUAUAUCCCUCCCAAGAAAUUAUAUGUGAGUGAAUUUAGAUACUUGGCUAACACCUGCAAAGAGUGUUUAUUUGUUUUUAUAUAGCCUGUUUUGUUCUAAUUGUAUUCCACACUGAAUUUUUUAAACAGAUGUGUGAAGCUCAAACAUUAGUUGCAAGGGACAUCUAAUUUAGCUUCUUGCAGGCUGAGAGUCAAAAUACAAUUUUACCCAAAUGUAAGCAAUAGAAAUUGAAUUUCCCCUGAAUCUUUUCGCUACAAGUCAAAUAUGCAUUGGCAAUGUUGCCACAGGAAUUAGCAAGGCAAGCAAUGUGCCCUGAGAACAACUUUCGGAUAAACCAAGACCAUUUAGGACAUAAAGGUUGCAUUGGAGGACCUUUCUGAAUUAUUCUCUUGAAAAUGUAGCCAUAAGAUUAUUUUCCUUUGGAAGUUGAUAGCUCACCUACUGUCCAUGGAGGCAUAUUAUCUAUCCUGGGCAGACUAUUUGCUUGAAUAUAUAACUGGCAUUAGUUUAAAUGAUUAUCUUUGAUCUAGCGAUGCAGAGUAAGUCAACAGUUUCACAGAAAUGUUGAGUAUUGUAAACAUUUAAGCUCCACUUCUGAUUCUUAGUGGUUGUCACUCUGAGGUCAGUUUGAUACACCUCGGAAAGAUGACACUAAUAUACAAAGUGUAAUUUAAAAACUAAUUCCUAGUGUGCCUAAGUGUAUUUGCCCACACAUUUGAAACUUCUGUAAUUGGCUAAAGAAGUGGUUCCCCAUCAGAGAUCUGCAGACUCCCCAAAAGUCUUUUAAGAUAGAUUUAGGACUGGGGUGGGAAGAGUGGUGUGUUAGAGGG
Molecule: long non-coding RNA, 7929 nt
Organism: Equus caballus (horse)
Lineage: Eukaryota; Metazoa; Chordata; Mammalia; Perissodactyla; Equidae
Source: Ensembl